CUGUGCCAACUGGCACCUCCUUGAGAUGUACAACAAAAUGACUUGACAGGAAAAGACAAGCUACGUUUUGAAUUAGUUUUAACCAUAGAAGGUGAGUUCUAUAUUGAUUUUUAUUCCUCAACUAUAUAACACCUGUGGGUUGUGCUGUACAGAUGUCAAUCAUUAUUACAAUACAUAAUGAGUUUUUUUCAUUUAUCCAUCUUUAGUAUGCCUGAGAAGCUUCUAAAGGGCCCUAAUAUUAAACUAAUUAAAUAUUUUCUGGCAAAUUACUCAAUAUAGAAACAUUUGACUUUCUUAUAUUAUUAUGCAAAGUCACAACUCUUGUUUACUUUAUUUAUUUAUAGGACUUGUAUGCCUCUCUCAUAUAAUAAGUCUAGACAACUUAUAAAGAAUUGCACUUGCUUAUUAUACUUAAAAGUCCUGGUUGUGCCAUGUAUACUGCCACAUACUACUGUGAUUUUAACAAGUAACUCAAGCCUUGCUUUGUUUGUAUUCUAGAUUUUCUAAAUCCAUUCUUUGUGGUGAAUGAAAUAACACUUGCAUAAGCAAACAUAAUGGUAAAUGAAGAUGGACACCCAAGUAGCACUAACUCUCAGUCAUUGUUCUGUUUUUAGUGGCUUAUGAUAGUUAAAAAAGAAUCUCAUGUCCUACUAAAAGUGACAGGAAGAUACCCCCAUAAUUGUUUUUAUAGAUUCUGUUUUCAUGAUGUCAUCUCCACUCCACAACAGUGGUAACAAUUUUCCAAUCUACUGUUCCAAUUUUGCCUUUUCUCCCAGUGUAUGUCUUGUAGUACAAAUGACUAAUGAUGUCUCCACAACGAUGUUAGUGAUGAAGCUCUUCCAUGGGAUUGGAGAACUGGUGGCUAAGAAGCCACUUCACGCCCUGUUCCUCUUGACAACUAUGGAAUGGUUGUAUUUUGCCAACAAGUCUGAUUACACUGAGCUGAUCCGUGGCAGAUACCUGGCAGGGAAACCUGAGUUCUUUACAUUAGCACCUAUCAGCCUGUCACUGCUUCAUCAUGCAGAUUUCUCCACCCCACUGACAUGUCAGCUGGGUUAUUUUUUGACGCAGAAUAUUAAUCUUCCCUGGAUGACUGGUGGAUUAUAUAGUAAGGAAGCAGUGUGAAGCCAGAGGUAAACAUCUUCUGAUCCAUGGAGUGAGAAUGAGUAUAUUAUGUCUAUUGAAGAAAGUGACCCUGAGCAGAAUAUACCAGCCCUUUAUUAAAAAAAAAAGGCACAUCUACGUUUUUGGAAUAACACUGUUCAUUUGUCAAAAAAAGUUGGCUGAUAGGUCAGUGGGGUGUAGCAGGGAACAUGAUGAAGGAAGAGGUGGUCUCUCCAGAGGACCAGUGCACUGAUGUUAAGAAAUAGCCCAGGUGUAAAGUCAUCAGUGCAGGGUAUUCCAUGCUUAAGACCAAUCACUUGGGCUACUUAAAAAUAGCCAUAACCUUUAUCCCAAACCUUUGCCCACACUUGUCUGUGCAUAUCUGACUCCACAAUAAGGAGAAUAAUUACUGUUAUUUUUCCACUAGACGUUGAUGUUGGAAGAGAACCUAUCAAUAAUAUUAAUGCCAUACAUGAGAGAAAAUUGCCCCACAUUAAUACUGUGUGGACAGUAGCAAUUGUUGGCCUUGUUUUGAAAAAGAGAAGGUUUGGAAAUGAGGUCACAGCAAAAUAUGUCACCAUGUUUUUGUGUCAUUUCAGAGACUGUAGGGCAGGCAUGUCAAACUGCCAGCCCACGGGCCAGAUGCAUCAUGUCCACCCCAUUGCUGGCAAUGGGGGGAAAGUCGCAAUAUGUCAUGUGAUGUUGCUAGUUUGACAUGCCUGCUGUAGGGAAUAAACCUUUCUAUGGCCAUGAGAACAUGCUCUUAGAAAAAGUAAGUUCAGAUGUGGCAGAAAGUAUUUCACCAAACAAAGGCACAUUUUUCUGUAGAGUUGGCAAUGUUUUCUGUCAUAGGGUGGGAAUGGUCAGAAGAAGCCAGUGUGUAGUAGAAACUAAGAAAUAUUGUGUCCACAAUCUUUCCACCAAGCGUUACAAGAAGUGCCAUCAGAAGAAAAUGGAAAUUGUUCUGCAUUACUGUACUCCAAGGGUGACUUUUUCCCUUAGGAGUUCUCUUGCUGCCACUUUUUAUGAUUCUGUCUUCUACAGUAUAUUCCCCAGGCUGCUUUAGCUAUAACAGAAGAAAAAAUCCUGCCUGCCUGCCUAAAUAGCUCUGGGAGAUACAAAAAAAACAGGUGGAAAACAUGCAGUACCAUUAGCAAGCUAUUUCAACUGUUGCAAAGUGCUGUAUCUCAUUUCUCCAAUAUUGGAAGGAGGAUAAGCAAACAGGAAGGAAUGGUCUGAUAAUUUGCUAUGAGGAUUCUUUGAAGUAGAUGUGAUGGAGGCCUGCAGCAAAUUUGGUCCCGGGCCAGAGGGAUGCCAACACUAGAUUUUGAUUCUGCCAUGUGAUUUGUGGAUAGACAGCAGGCAGCUAACUAACUAGUCAGAUAUUUCUGUGAAAGUCCUAUAAAUAUGGCAAAGUAACAGCUGAAACAAUGGGAGUGAACCUAAAACAUGCUGCAUUCAUCACUCAGACUGUAAUCAGUUAGCCACUCAGCACAAUGGGAUAUUCUUUAAACAGGAAUCUUGUACAUGAUAAUAAAACUACAUCUGGUAAAUA
This is a long non-coding RNA of Crotalus tigris (Tiger rattlesnake), 2659 nucleotides long. RefSeq lists it as uncharacterized. Lineage: Eukaryota; Metazoa; Chordata; Lepidosauria; Squamata; Viperidae. The record is from RefSeq and is a predicted model, not a curated record. The transcript has 2 exons.